CCGCCGGCGAGUGGCAAACGGGUGAGUAAUACAUCGGAACGUGCCCAGUAGUGGGGGAUAGCCCGGCGAAAGCCGGAUUAAUACCGCAUACGCCCUACGGGGGAAAGGCCGGGAUCUUCGGACCGGUCGCUAUUGGAUGAGCCUGCGUUGGAUUAGCUAGUUGGUAGGGUAAAGGCCUACCAAGGCUACGAUCAGUCGCUGGUCUGAGAGGACGACCAGCCACACUGGGACUGAGACACGGCCCAGACUCC
RNAcentral lists this ribosomal RNA (251 nucleotides) under uncultured bacterium. Its description in RNAcentral is "partial 16S ribosomal RNA". It matches the Rfam family "Bacterial small subunit ribosomal RNA", at positions 85 to 339 of the family's 1533-position model. The record is from RNAcentral.